GGGAAAGUGGCUCAGUGGUAGAGUGCUUGCCUUGCAUGCAUGAGGCCCUGGGUUUGAUUCUCAGCACCA
This 69-nucleotide transfer RNA is filed under the name Dipodomys ordii (Ord's kangaroo rat). It matches the Rfam family "tRNA". Rfam says of the family: Transfer RNA (tRNA) molecules are approximately 80 nucleotides in length. Their secondary structure includes four short double-helical elements and three loops (D, anti-codon, and T loops). Lineage: Eukaryota; Metazoa; Chordata; Mammalia; Rodentia; Heteromyidae. The record is from Rfam by way of RNAcentral.